GGGGAUUUCUUGGACGGGAAUCGCGCGUAUGUGGGUCGCAAAAGGAUGUGAAUUUCCCAGACUCAACCUGUGAUCUGCAUCCAAACUACUGUUUUAUAUUAUGGUUUUGGUGGUGGAAUUUUUGUGUGCGGUGAAAUGCGACAUUAUGAUGGAACACCAGUGGCCAAGGCGACCACCUGGACUGAUACUGACACUGAUGUGCGAAAGCGUGGGGAGCAAACAGGAUUAAAUACCCUGGUAGUCCACGCCGUAAACGAUGUCUACUAGCCGUUGGGAUCCUUGAGAUUUAGUGGCGCAGCUAACGCGAUAAGUCGACCGCCUGGGGAGUACGGCCGCAAGGUUAAAACUCAAUGAAUUGACGGGGGCCCGCACAGCGGUGAGCUGUUGUUUAAUUGAACAACGCGAAGACCUUCCUGGCUUGACUGCGAGAACUUUCCUUAUUGGAUUGGUGCUUUGGAACUCGACACGGGUGCUCAUGGUGGUUCAGCUCUUUCUGAAUGUUGGUUAAGUCCGUACGAUCGUAACCAUAGCUUAGUACACUCCUUGGUGGCCACUAAGAGCUGCCGUGACAACUGAGAGUGGGGAGACUCAGCUUCUUUCUUUCGGCAUGUUACUACUUGCUCAAGUGGUUAAAGGUUGCAACCGUAUGGUGAACUUUUCUAUAUAACGA
Molecule: ribosomal RNA, 670 nt
Filed under: Pseudomonas aeruginosa
Lineage: Bacteria; Pseudomonadati; Pseudomonadota; Gammaproteobacteria; Pseudomonadales; Pseudomonadaceae
Description: bacterial SSU rRNA
Rfam family: Bacterial small subunit ribosomal RNA
Source: RNAcentral